GUGUCAGCCGCCGCGUAAUACGUAGGGCGCAAGCGUUGUCCGGAAUUAUUGGGCGUAAAGAGCUCGUAGGCGGCCUGUUACGUCUGCUGUGAAAUCCCGGGGCUUAACCCCGGGCGUGCAGUGGAUACGGGCAGGCUGGAGGCAGGCAGGGGAGAACGGAAUUCCCGGUGUAGCGGUGAAAUGCGCAGAUAUCGGGAGGAACACCGGUGGCGAAGGCGGUUCUCUGGGCCUGUACUGACGCUGAGGAGCGAAAGCGUGGGGAGCGAACAGGAUUAGAUACCCGCGUAGUCC
RNAcentral lists this ribosomal RNA (291 nucleotides) under uncultured bacterium. Its description in RNAcentral is "partial 16S ribosomal RNA". It matches the Rfam family "Bacterial small subunit ribosomal RNA", at positions 505 to 796 of the family's 1533-position model. The record is from RNAcentral.